RNAcentral lists this long non-coding RNA (983 nucleotides) under Jatropha curcas. Its description in RNAcentral is "long non-coding RNA (JCUR_LNC002381)". Lineage: Eukaryota; Viridiplantae; Streptophyta; Magnoliopsida; Malpighiales; Euphorbiaceae. The record is from RNAcentral.
CCAGAACACGUGGGACCCAUUACUUGUUAAAAAUAAUACUGUGUAGGAUGCCAAAUAGCUUGACACGUCAGAUCUGACCUGUCAAGCAGUGUAUCAAAGGAGUACUGCUUAAUUAAUACGAACUGAACUAAACAUCAUCUACAAUCCUCUUCAUUCUUCUUCCGUCAAGCGAUCUUUGAUCGCUCUUCAUUCGCCAUGAACCCCAGCCUGCUCCAGGUUACUAGCGCCACCAUCACCAGCCAAGCAAUAGGCUACCACCACCUCCAGUCACUUUUCGUGACCCAAAAGUGAAAAUGAAGUACAUCAUAAGGAUUCUCCUCAAAUAGUUCUCUUUAAUGAUACAAAAGACUGCAGUGAUAUUACUGGUCUGAAGAUAUUAUAAAUUGAAAGAAGAAGAGAUUACCAAGAGAGAAAAGAGUGAGGGGAUCUAAGAAAUGAGUGAUUUUAUUUUUGACGUUUAGCCCUCUUUCGGCAUCGAAGGGGAGCGAAAUGGCGUGGGACAUUCCACCGGAGUUUAUGAAAUCUCUCCGGUCAUUAUCAUUGUUGCCAGAAGCCAAAUCUUGGCCAUUGAGAAAAGUGAUAUUGGAAUGGAUGGUUGGAUUCGAUGGCGCGAUCCAAAACUGAUUGCAAAGAUUGGUAUAAGAGGAAGGGUAAGGCCGUCCUUGACUCACCUAGUGCACUAAAACUCCCCGGAAGGGGCGUUGGUGGCUGGAGUCGCGAAUUGCCCUCCUCUUGCUUGUCCUUUCGUGCAAUAGAGGUUCAAAGGAAGAAUCACUUUUGGGUCACGAAAAGUGACCGAAGGUGGUAGUCCCUUAUUGCUUGGCCGGUGAUGGUGGCUCUAGUAAUCGGGAGUGGGCUGGUGUUCAUGGAGAAUGAAGAGUGAUCAGAGAUCGCUUGAAGGAAGAAGAACGAAGAAGAUUGUAGAUGAUUUUUGGUUCGGUUCGUAUUAAUUAAGCAAUAUCGGUUUGAUACACAGCUUGACA